RNAcentral lists this ribosomal RNA (497 nucleotides) under uncultured bacterium. RNAcentral describes it as "partial 16S ribosomal RNA". It matches the Rfam family "Bacterial small subunit ribosomal RNA", at positions 28 to 507 of the family's 1533-position model. The record is from RNAcentral.
GAUGAACGCUGGCGGCGUGCCUAAUACAUGCAAGUCGAGCGAACAGACGAGGAGCUUGCUCCUCUGACGUUAGCGGCGGACGGGUGAGUAACACGUGGAUAACCUACCUAUAAGACUGGGAUAACUUCGGGAAACCGGCGCUAAUACCGGAUAAUAUAUUGAACCGCAUGGUUCAAUAGUGAAAGACGGUGUUGCUGUCACUUAUAGAUGGAUCCGCGCCGCAUUAGCUAGUUGGGAAGGUAACGGCUUACCAAGGCGACGAUGCGUAGCCGAACUGAGAGGGUGAUCGGCCACACUGGAGCUGAGACACGGUCCAGACUCCUACGGGAGGCAGCAGUAGGGAAUCGGCCGCAAUGGGCGAAAGCCUGACGGAGCAACGCCGAGUGAGUGAUGAAGGUCUUCGGAUCGUAAAACUCGGUUAUUAGGGAAGAACAAAUGUGUAAGUAACUAUGCACGUCUUGACGGUACCUAAUCAGAAAGCCACGGCUAACUACGUG